Small nuclear RNA from Monodon monoceros (narwhal), 104 nucleotides. Lineage: Eukaryota; Metazoa; Chordata; Mammalia; Artiodactyla; Monodontidae. The record is from Ensembl.
GUACUCACUUUGGCAGGGCAGGUGCUAAGAUUGGAACGAUGCAGAGGUUAGCAUGGCCCCUGCCCAGGGAUGACACACAAAAUCAUGACGUAUUCCAUAUUUUU